RNAcentral lists this ribosomal RNA (253 nucleotides) under uncultured bacterium. RNAcentral's name for it is "partial 16S ribosomal RNA". It matches the Rfam family "Bacterial small subunit ribosomal RNA", at positions 524 to 776 of the family's 1533-position model. The record is from RNAcentral.
CACGUAGGGCGCAAGCGUUGUCCGGAAUUAUUGGGCGUAAAGAGCGCGCAGGUGGUUGAUUAAGUCUGAUGUGAAAGCCCACGGCUUAACCGUGGAGGGUCAUUGGAAACUGGUCGACUUGAGUGCAGAAGAGGGAAGUGGAAUUCCAUGUGUAGCGGUGAAAUGCGUAGAGAUAUGGAGGAACACCAGUGGCGAAGGCGGCUUCCUGGUCUGUAACUGACACUGAGGCGCGAAAGCGUGGGGAGCAAACAGG